CAAGCAGUCUGAGUGAUCGCAGGCGGAUGGUAUCCGCCUGAGGAAAGUCCGAGCUCCGCAGGGCAGGGUGCUGGGUAACGCCCAGUGAAGGCGACUUCAAGGAAAGUGCCACAGAAAUCAAACCGCCAUGCGCAGCGCGUCUAGCGCAUGGUAAGGGUGAAACGGUGCGGUAAGAGCGCACCAGCGUCCGGGCGACCGGCCGGCUAGGUAAACCCCACCUGGAGCAAGGCCAAAUAGGAGGGAUAUGAGGCUGCCCGCUUCUCCCUCGGGUUGGGCCGCUUGAGACUCAUGGUAACGUGAGCCCUAGAUAGAUGAUCACUCUCGACAGAACUCGGCUUACAGGGCUGCUUGUUGC
Molecule: RNase P RNA, 355 nt
Filed under: Bacillota bacterium
Lineage: Bacteria; Bacillati; Bacillota
Description: RNase P RNA component class A
Rfam family: Bacterial RNase P class A
About the family: Ribonuclease P (RNase P) is a ubiquitous endoribonuclease, found in archaea, bacteria and eukarya as well as chloroplasts and mitochondria. Its best characterised activity is the generation of mature 5'-ends of tRNAs by cleaving the 5'-leader elements of precursor-tRNAs. Cellular RNase Ps are ribonucleoproteins.
Source: RNAcentral